Long non-coding RNA from Choloepus didactylus (southern two-toed sloth), 605 nucleotides. RefSeq lists it as uncharacterized. The transcript is spliced from 3 exons. The record is from RefSeq and is a predicted model, not a curated record. Lineage: Eukaryota; Metazoa; Chordata; Mammalia; Pilosa; Megalonychidae.
UAAAACACCCACGGAAGUGACAGAGAAGAUUCAUGUGUGGAGGAGGCUGACUUGGUAUUUGCAUAGGUUCUUAACAAGCCAAGAGGAGUUGUAUUUUGAUGGCUCACAAGGCAUCAAUGCCUGUAAUAAUCUCCCACCCUGGCAUCAACAACAUAAUUUCAGUUCAAAAACUAGAAUGAACUAACAAUUGAACAGGGGGAUAAACCAACAGUUAAUGAGAAGAGCCAUAUGAUAAUUGAUCAUCUGAAUAAUCAGGAGCAAACUGGAGUUCUCAGAAGGAAGUUCAUGAAGAGAAAAAUUGUUCUAUAUUAAAGGAAUAGGAGAGAAAAUCUUCCUCCACUCCCACCCCAACCUCAAUCACAAACAAUUCAUGAAGACCUAACGGUAUUUUUUAAAGCAGUCUUCUUUUCUGGCCUUACCUUAAGUUUAUCAUUGUUGCCAAGAAACACUGGCCAUCUAGAUCCUUCAGAGUCCUGUUUGUCAUUUGUAUCUCCUGUCAUCAAGGUCUAGCAUUUCCAGACUAAACCAUAUUUACAAUACUAAUAUAAAAUUCAUUGCAGGAGACUAUUACCAUAAUUAAAUGGAUGCACCAGCACUAGCAGAAG